This 492-nucleotide ribosomal RNA is filed under the name uncultured bacterium. Its description in RNAcentral is "partial 16S ribosomal RNA". It matches the Rfam family "Bacterial small subunit ribosomal RNA", at positions 29 to 507 of the family's 1533-position model. The record is from RNAcentral.
AGUGAACGCUGGCGGUAGGCCUAACACAUGCAAGUCGAACGGCAGCACAGUAAGAGCUUGCUCUUACGGGUGGCGAGUGGCGUACGUGUGAGGAAUACAUCGGAAUCUACUUUUUCGUGGGGGAUCACGUAGGGAAACUUACGCUAAUACCGCAUACGACCUUCGUGUGAAAGCAGGGGAUCUUCGGACCUUGCGCGAUUGAAUGAGCCGAUGUCGGAUUAGAUAGUUGGCGGGGUAAAGGCCCACCAAGGCGACGAUCCGUAGAUGGUCUGAGAGGAUGAUCAGCAAGAAUGGAACUGAGACACGGUCCAGACUCCUACGGGAGGCAGCAGUGGGGAAUAUUGGACAAUGGGCGCAAGCAUGAUCCAGCCAUACCGCGUGGGUGAAGAAGGCCUUCGGGUUGUAAAGCCCUUUUGUUGGGAAAGAAAAGCAGCAGGUUAAUACCCCGCUGUUAUGACGGUACCCAAAGAAUAAGCACCGGCUAACUUCGUG